This 779-nucleotide unclassified non-coding RNA is filed under the name Arabidopsis thaliana (thale cress). Its description in RNAcentral is "3' external transcribed spacer". Lineage: Eukaryota; Viridiplantae; Streptophyta; Magnoliopsida; Brassicales; Brassicaceae. The record is from RNAcentral.
CCCUCCCCUAAAUCACUCAAAAAAAACAAUCCCCAAUUCUACACAAGUGUUUCUACACUAACAAAGCAACAGCUCCUUAACGAAUUCCCAACUUUACAUGAGCUCGUCUCUCGAGGUUAAAUGUUAUUACUUGGUAAGAUUCCGGACCUCGCCAAGUGUUUUGAAAACCCGCAACGCUCGCAAAGGUGGAUAGUGAGAAUAAUAAGUGAAGAGACAGACUUGUCCAAAACGCCCACCACGAAGGUGCAUAGUGAGAAGAGUAAGUCAAGAGAUAGACUUGUCCAAAAAGAAACGGAAGAGAAAGCUUGGGGAGACGCUCACGAAGGUGCAUAGUGAGAAGAGUAAGUCAAGAGAUAGACUUGUUCAAAAAGAAACAGAAGAGAAUGCUUGGGGUUACACUCACGAAGGUGCAUAGUGAGAAGAGUAAGUCAAGAGACAGACUUGUUCAAAAAGAAACAAAAGAGAAUGCUUGGGGAGAUAGAAGUGUGAGAUAGUUCUCAAGCUAAGAAAGUUGUAAAAGCUAAGAACUAGGAGUGGUCGAGGAUUUGUCGACCAGGAGUUGAAAUCGUCGACCGGGACCGAGAAUUCGUCGACCAGGACGGCGGAAUGCUCGACCAGGACGAUGAAUGGGCGAUGAAAAUCUAUCGGGUUAGAGGAAUGGUCGACCAGAAGUUGGAAUCGUCGACCGGGUCCGAGAAUUCGUCGACCAGGACGAGGAGUGGUCGAGGAUUUGUCGACCAGGAGUUGAAAUCGUCGACCGGGUCCGAGAAUUCGUCGAC